Danaus plexippus (monarch butterfly) is the source of this 1140-nucleotide long non-coding RNA. RefSeq lists it as uncharacterized. The record is from RefSeq and is a predicted model, not a curated record. Lineage: Eukaryota; Metazoa; Arthropoda; Insecta; Lepidoptera; Nymphalidae. The transcript has 2 exons.
AUAAUCAUAGCUUACCAACAAUGCACCAAUAAGUUAUGGACAUGCAGUGGCACGUUGAGGUUAUGAUUAUGCCACUUAAGUAUUAUUGAAUUUAUAACGUGCGCCGCUAGUCGAUCAAUAAUACAUUGUCAGUCCGUCAGUACCAGUCAAAGAGAAAAUACAGAUUGUAGGACGAUCAAUGUCAGGUUGGUUCUUCUUCUAUCUUUGGAAGCAUCAGCUAGCUGUAUAUAUUGACAACGUCCUCUUUACUCGGUGCGAUGUGGCUGCUGACAUUAUCCAGGCUGACGACUUGCAGUUACAUGAUCAAUGCGAUACCAAUCCGAUUAGCACAGCAAAAGAAUCACUCAAUUCUGUUUUGGAACAGAUAUAAUCAUGGUCUGCAAAUAUAUCCAUAGAUAUGAAGCCUGAUAAAUCCCAUCAUGAUAAUGAAAUUGUUAAUUUUACUGUAAUUGGACCGAAUUAAAAAAAAUCAGCUUUACGAAAUAUAAUUUCAAAAAAUUUCCGUGUUCUACUUAAUGUAUGUCAAAGAUGUUUAGAUUUACAUAGAUAGUUACCACAGCUGGGAUGUCUAAAUGAGAAAAUAGUCUUUUAAAUUUAUAGUGCGUUGCAGUCUUGGCCAGGACUUAAAAAUGUAAUUAAAACUGUGAUUACUUAUUUCUUUCUUUAUUUCUUUUUUUCUAACUUUUAAGUUUCAAUUUCACUGAAUAAACUCGAACUCUUGCUAUACAUCUGUACUUCAUAUAUACGGGCUAUGAAAAUUUUAUCAUGUCUCUGGUCUCUAGCCACCGAAAGCAACUACAAUGACUACAUUCGAAAAAAUUCUUUCACUAAAAGUUUAGCUAAAAACUGUUAUUUCGAAAAGGUGAUUGUGUUAUCUUACUAUUUUUUAUUUGUUUUUAUUUUGUUUUUGUUAAUAGGUAUUAUUUUUUAAUCAUUAAUUCAUAGUAUUUUAAAUUUGCCCAAAACGAUAUUUUCUCCACUUUUUUUAGGGUUAGCUGGAGAAAUGCAAUGCUAUGUUUAUGACAUGCUAUGCUAAAGAAUGCGCAUUCUAAACAAUAUAUUAAGCUCAUCUAUUAUGCAUAACCGUUAUAUAUAUGUGCAAUACAGAAAUGACUAAAUAAAUAUAUAAAUAAGUUGGAA